UACGGGGGGUGCGAGCGUUGUCCGGAAUCAUUGGGCGUAAAGGGCGCGUAGGUGGCGCGAUAAGGGUGUGGUGAAAGCCCGGGGCUCAACCCCGGGUCUGCCAUGCCGACUGUCAGGCUAGAGUACUGUAGGGGCAGGCGGAAUUCCGGGUGUAGCGGUGGAAUGCGUAGAGAUCCGGAGGAAGACCGGUGGCGAAGGCGGCCUGCUGGGCAGUUACUGACACUGAGGCGCGAAAGCGUGGGGAGCAAACAGG
This 253-nucleotide ribosomal RNA is filed under the name uncultured bacterium. Its description in RNAcentral is "partial 16S ribosomal RNA". It matches the Rfam family "Bacterial small subunit ribosomal RNA", at positions 524 to 776 of the family's 1533-position model. The record is from RNAcentral.